Molecule: transfer RNA, 73 nt
Filed under: Ursus americanus (American black bear)
Lineage: Eukaryota; Metazoa; Chordata; Mammalia; Carnivora; Ursidae
Also listed under: 2 other names
Rfam family: tRNA
About the family: Transfer RNA (tRNA) molecules are approximately 80 nucleotides in length. Their secondary structure includes four short double-helical elements and three loops (D, anti-codon, and T loops).
Source: Rfam by way of RNAcentral
GCCUGGCUGGCUCAGUUGGUAGAGCAUGUGACUCUUGAUCUUGGGGUUGUGAGUUCAAGCCCCACAUUGGGUG